GACGAACGCUGGCGGCGUGCUUAACACAUGCAAGUCGAACGGAAAGGCCUCUGCUUGCAGGGGUGCUCGAGUGGCGAACGGGUGAGUAACACGUGGGUGAUCUGCCUUGUACUCUGGGAUAAGCUUGGGAAACUGGGUCUAAUACCGGAUAGGAACUGCCUUUAGUGUGGUGGUUGGAAAGUUUUUUCGGUGCAAGAUGAGCUCGCGGCCUAUCAGCUUGUUGGUGGGGUAAUGGCCUACCAAGGCGUCGACGGGUAGCCGGCCUGAGAGGGUGUACGGCCACAUUGGGACUGAGAUACGGCCCAGACUCCUACGGGAGGCAGCAGUGGGGAAUAUUGCACAAUGGGCGGAAGCCUGAUGCAGCGACGCCGCGUGGGGGAUGACGGCCUUCGGGUUGUAAACUCCUUUCGACAGGGACGAAGCGCAAGUGACGGUACCUGUAUAAGAAGCACCGGCUAACUACGUGCCAGCAGCCGCGGUAAUACGUAGGGUGCGAGCGUUGUCCGGAAUUACUGGGCGUAAAGAGCUCGUAGGUGGUUUGUCGCGUCGUCUGUGAAAUUCCGGGGCUUAACUCCGGGCGUGCAGGCGAUACGGGCAUAACUUGAGUGCUGUAGGGGAGACUGGAAUUCCUGGUGUAGCGGUGAAAUGCGCAGAUAUCAGGAGGAACACCGAUGGCGAAGGCAGGUCUCUGGGCAGUUACUGACGCUGAGGAGCGAAAGCAUGGGUAGCGAACAGGAUUAGAUACCCUGGUAGUCCAUGCCGUAAACGGUGGGCGCUAGGUGUAGGGGGCUUCCACGUCUUCUGUGCCGUAGCUAACGCAUUAAGCGCCCCGCCUGGGGAGUACGGCCGCAAGGCUAAAACUCAAAGGAAUUGACGGGGGCCCGCACAAGCGGCGGAGCAUGUGGAUUAAUUCGAUGCAACGCGAAGAACCUUACCUGGGCUUGACAUACACCAGAUCGCUGCAGAGAUGUAGUUUCCCUUGUGGUUGGUGUACAGGUGGUGCAUGGUUGUCGUCAGCUCGUGUCGUGAGAUGUUGGGUUAAGUCCCGCAACGAGCGCAACCCUUGUCUUAUGUUGCCAGCAUUUGGUUGGGGACUCAUGAGAGACUGCCGGGGUUAACUCGGAGGAAGGUGGGGAUGACGUCAAAUCAUCAUGCCCCUUAUGUCCAGGGCUUCACACAUGCUACAAUGGUCGGUACAACGUGCAGCGACACUGUGAGGUGGAGCGAAUCGCUGAAAGCCGGUCUUAGUUCGGAUUGGGGUCUGCAACUCGACCCCAUGAAGUCGGAGUCGCUAGUAAUCGUAGAUCAGCAAUGCUGCGGUGAAUACGUUCCCGGGCCU
RNAcentral lists this ribosomal RNA (1339 nucleotides) under uncultured bacterium. RNAcentral's name for it is "bacterial SSU rRNA". It matches the Rfam family "Bacterial small subunit ribosomal RNA", at positions 28 to 1381 of the family's 1533-position model. The record is from RNAcentral.